AGCUACCAUGCAGUCGAGCGGUAGCACAGAGAGCUUGCUCUCGGGUGACGAGCGGCGGACGGGUGAGUAAUGUCUGGGAAACUGCCUGAUGGAGGGGGAUAACUACUGGAAACGGUAGCUAAUACCGCAUAACGUCGCAAGACCAAAGUGGGGGACCUUCGGGCCUCAUGCCAUCAGAUGUGCCCAGAUGGGAUUAGCUGGUAGGUGGGGUAACGGCUCACCUAGGCGACGAUCCCUAGCUGGUCUGAGAGGAUGACCAGCCACACUGGAACUGAGACACGGUCCAGACUCCUACGGGAGGCAGCAGUGGGGAAUAUUGCACAAUGGGCGCAAGCCUGAUGCAGCCAUGCCGCGUGUGUGAAGAAGGCCUUCGGGUUGUAAAGCACUUUCAGCGGGGAGGAAGGCGGUGAGGUUAAUAACCUCAUCGAUUGACGUUACCCGCAGAAGAAGCACCGGCUAACUCCGUGCCAGCAGCCGCGGUAAUACGGAGGGUGCAAGCGUUAAUCGGAAUUACUGGGCGUAAAGCGCACGCAGGCGGUCUGUCAAGUCGGAUGUGAAAUCCCCGGGCUCAACCUGGGAACUGCAUUCGAAACUGGCAGGCUAGAGUCUUGUAGAGGGGGGUAGAAUUCCAGGUGUAGCGGUGAAAUGCGUAGAGAUCUGGAGGAAUACCGGUGGCGAAGGCGGCCCCCUGGACAAAGACUGACGCUCAGGUGCGAAAGCGUGGGGAGCAAACAGGAUUAGAUACCCUGGUAGUCCACGCUGUAAACGAUGUCGAUUUGGAGGUUGUGCCCUUGAGGCGUGGCUUCCGGAGCUAACGCGUUAAAUCGACCGCCUGGGGAGUACGGCCGCAAGGUUAAAACUCAAAUGAAUUGACGGGGGCCCGCACAAGCGGUGGAGCAUGUGGUUUAAUUCGAUGCAACGCGAAGAACCUUACCUGGUCUUGACAUCCACAGAACUUUCCAGAGAUGGAUUGGUGCCUUCGGGAACUGUGAGACAGGUGCUGCAUGGCUGUCGUCAGCUCGUGUUGUGAAAUGUUGGGUUAAGUCCCGCAACGAGCGCAACCCUUAUCCUUUGUUGCCAGCGGUUAGGCCGGGAACUCAAAGGAGACUGCCAGUGAUAAACUGGAGGAAGGUGGGGAUGACGUCAAGUCAUCAUGGCCCUUACGACCAGGGCUACACACGUGCUACAAUGGCAUAUACAAAGAGAAGCGACCUCGCGAGAGCAAGCGGACCUCAUAAAGUAUGUCGUAGUCCGGAUUGGAGUCUGCAACUCGACUCCAUGAAGUCGGAAUCGCUAGUAAUCGUAGAUCAGAAUGCUACGGUGAAUACGUUCCCGGGCCUUGUACACACCGCCCGUCACACCAUGGGAGUGGGUUGCAAAAGAAGUAGGUAGCUUAACCUUCGGGAGGGCGCUACCAC
RNAcentral lists this ribosomal RNA (1418 nucleotides) under Klebsiella variicola. RNAcentral's name for it is "bacterial SSU rRNA". It matches the Rfam family "Bacterial small subunit ribosomal RNA". The record is from RNAcentral. Lineage: Bacteria; Pseudomonadati; Pseudomonadota; Gammaproteobacteria; Enterobacterales; Enterobacteriaceae.